GUGACAUACACUCGUAUAUAGAAAAUGAAGUUUUUCGCAAUGAUGCUAGCCAUCAUGGCUGUUGCACUCGCAGUUGUGGGAGCCAUGGGUAUCCCAAAAGCUGGUAUAAGGGAUCACGACCAUGAUCAUGCUGGCUGCAACUGGUCCGGCGGUCCGCCACCGCCGCCACCGGCACCGACCAAUAGCACCGGCUAGUUGUCUUCAACAGCUAUUCGGCAACAGUGGAUUAACAUGAAAUCGGCUUGUCAAAUGUAGUAAUAAACUUGUGCAUAUUGAA
Pararge aegeria (speckled wood butterfly) is the source of this 277-nucleotide long non-coding RNA. RefSeq lists it as uncharacterized. The transcript is spliced from 3 exons. The record is from RefSeq and is a predicted model, not a curated record. Lineage: Eukaryota; Metazoa; Arthropoda; Insecta; Lepidoptera; Nymphalidae.